UACGUAGGGGGCGAGCGUUGUCCGAAGUUACUGGGCGUAAAGCGCGCGUAGGCGGUCUCUUAAGUCCGGGGUGAAAGGUUCAGCGCUCAACGCGAACAGUGCCCUGGAGACUGGGGGACUUGAGUGUGGGAGGGGGCAGUGGAAUUCCUGGUGUAGCGGUGAAAUGCGUAGAUAUCAGGAGGAACACCGAUGGCGAAGGCAGCUGCCUGGCCUAACACUGACGCUGAGGUGCGAAAGCGUGGGGAGCGAACGGG
This 254-nucleotide ribosomal RNA is filed under the name uncultured bacterium. RNAcentral's name for it is "partial 16S ribosomal RNA". It matches the Rfam family "Bacterial small subunit ribosomal RNA", at positions 524 to 776 of the family's 1533-position model. The record is from RNAcentral.